This 496-nucleotide ribosomal RNA is filed under the name uncultured bacterium. RNAcentral's name for it is "partial 16S ribosomal RNA". It matches the Rfam family "Bacterial small subunit ribosomal RNA", at positions 29 to 507 of the family's 1533-position model. The record is from RNAcentral.
AUGAACGCUGGCGGCGUGCCUAAUCCCUGCCAGUCGAGCGAACGGACGAGAAGCUUGCUUCUCUGAUGUUAGCGGCGGACGGGUGAGUAACACGUGGAUAACCUACCUAUAAGACUGGGAUAACUUCGGGAAACCGGAGCUAAUACCGGAUAAUAUUUUGAACCGCAUGGUUCAAAAGUGAAAGACGGUCUUGCUGUCACUUAUAGAUGGAUCCGCGCUGCAUUAGCUAGUUGGUAAGGUAACGGCUUACCAAGGCAACGAUGCAUAGCCGACCUGAGAGGGUAAUCGGCCACACUGGAACUGAGACACGGUCCAGACUCCUACGGGAGGCAGCAGUAGGGAAUCUUCCGCAAUGGGCGAAAGCCUGACGGAGCAACGCCGCGUGAGUGAUGAAGGUCUUCGGAUCGUAAAACUCUGUUAUUAGGGAAGAACAUAUGUGUAAGUAACUGUGCACAUCUUGACGGUACCUAAUCAGAAAGCCACGGCUAACUACGUG